RNAcentral lists this ribosomal RNA (424 nucleotides) under uncultured bacterium. Its description in RNAcentral is "bacterial SSU rRNA". It matches the Rfam family "Bacterial small subunit ribosomal RNA", at positions 917 to 1344 of the family's 1533-position model. The record is from RNAcentral.
GGGCCCGCACAAGCGGUGGAGCAUGUGGUUUAAUUCGAUGAUACGCGAGGAACCUUACCAGGGCUUAAAUGUAAGUUGCAUAGAUCAGAGAUGGUCUUUUCUUCGGACUACUUACAAGGUGCUGCAUGGUUGUCGUCAGCUCGUGCCGUGAGGUGUCAGGUUAAGUCCUAUAACGAGCGCAACCCCUGUCGUUAGUUACCAGCAAGUAAUGUUGGGUACUCUAGCGAGACUGCCGGUGCAAACCGUGAGGAAGGUGGGGAUGACGUCAAAUCAUCACGGCCCUUACGUCCUGGGCUACACACGUGCUACAAUGGCCGGUACAGAGAGCAGCCACUACGCGAGUAGGAGCGAAUCUUCAAAGCCGGUCUCAGUUCGGAUCGCAGUCUGCAACUCGACUGCGUGAAGCUGGAAUCGCUAGUAAUCG